RNAcentral lists this ribosomal RNA (1806 nucleotides) under Paracentrophyes anurus. RNAcentral's name for it is "SSU rRNA". It matches the Rfam family "Eukaryotic small subunit ribosomal RNA". The record is from RNAcentral. Lineage: Eukaryota; Metazoa; Kinorhyncha; Allomalorhagida; Neocentrophyidae.
UAGUCAUAUGCUUGUCUUAAAGAUUAAGCCAUGCAUGUCUCAGUACAAGCUCCGGCAUAGUGAAACCGCGAAUGGCUCAUUAAAUCAGUUAUGGUUCAUUUGACGAAGGCCGUUUUACAUGGAUAACUGUGGCAAUUCUAGAGCUAAUACAUGGACACGGGCUCCGACCUCACGGGACGAGCGCACUUGUCAGAUCAAAAACCAAUCGGUCCGCGGCAUCCGUCGUUUGGACCGUCCUCGUGGCGAAUCAUGACAAACUCUACGCUGACCGCACGGCCCCUGCGCCGGCGGCCUGUCUUUCGAGUGUCUGCCUUAUCAACUUUCGUUGGUGUGCCAAGUGCUUACCAAGGUGAUAACGGGUAACGGGGAAUCAGGGUUCGAUUCCGGAGAGGGAGCCUGAGAAACGGCUACCACAUCCAAGGAAGGCAGCAGGCACGCAAAUUACCCACUCCCGGCUCGGGGAGGUAGUGACAAGAACUAACAAUCCGAGACUCUUUCGAGGCCUCGGAAUUGGAAUGAGUACACUUUAAAUCCUUUAACGAGGAUCUAUUGGAGGGCAAGUCUGGUGCCAGCAGCCGCGGUAAUUCCAGCUCCAAUAGCGUAUAUUAAUGCUGCUGUAGUUAAAAAGCUCGUAGUUGGAUCUGGCGCUCGGGCCCGCGAUGCGACGCAUGUCGGCUAUCGCGUGACGUUUGUCCGACGCACACCUCCCGGCUUUCUGCACGGUGCUCUUAGCUGAGUGCCUGCAGUUACCGGAACGUUUACUUUGAAAAAAUUAGAGUGUUCAAAGCAGGCCUGUGUCGCCUGGAUAGUGGUGCAUGGAAUAAUGGAACAAGACCUCGGUUCUAUUUUGUUGGUUUCCGGAACGCGAGGUAAUGAUUAAGAGGGACUGCCGGGGACAUCAGUAUUGCUGCAAGAGAGGUGAAAUUCUAGGACUGUAGCAGGACUAUCCAAGGCGAAAGCAUUUGUCUAGAAUGUUUUCAUUAAUCAAGAACGAAAGUCGGACGAUGGAAGGCGAUCAGAUACCGCCGUACUUCCGACCAUAAACGAUGCCGUCGGACAAUCUGCCGGAGUGUUACCAUGACUCGGCAGGAAGCUGCCUGGGAAACCUGUGAGAUUCUUGGCUCCAGGGGGAGUAUGGUUGCAAAGCUCAAACUUAAAGGAAUUGACGGAGGGGCACCACCAGGAGUGGAGCCUGCGGCUUAAUUUGACUCAACACGGGAAAACUCACCCGGUCCGGACACCGUUAGGAUUGACAGAUUGAGAGCUCUUUCUUGAUUCGGUGGUUGGUGGUGCAUGGCCGUUCUUAGUUGGUGGAGUGAUUUGUCUGGUUAAUUCCGAUAACGAACGAGACUCUGGCCUACUAAAUAGUCCGCCGUUCCGCAUUCGAAGACGGCGCUGACUUCUUAGGGGAACUAGCGGCGUUUAGUCGCACGAAAUAGAGCAAUAACAGGUCUGUGAUGCCCUUAGAUGUCCGGGGCCGCACGCGCGCUACACUGAAGAAGACAACGUGUGCUUGCCCUUCUCCGACAGGAGCCGGGUAACCCCGUGAAUCCUUUUCGUGCUAGGGAUUGGUGCUUGCAAUUGUUCCCCAUGAACGAGGAAUUCCCAGUAAACGCGAUUCAUAAGAUCGCGUUGAUUAUGUCCCUGCCCCUUGUACACACCGCCCGUCGCUACUACAGAUUGAAUGAUUUAGUGAGGUCUUUGGACCGGCCCCUGCAGGGUCCGCUUCGUCGGUUCGUGCGGGUGUGCCGGGAAGACGCCCGAACUUGAUCAUUUAGAUGAAGUAAAAGUCGUAACAAGGUUUCC